Oncorhynchus nerka (sockeye salmon) is the source of this 549-nucleotide long non-coding RNA. RefSeq lists it as uncharacterized. The record is from RefSeq and is a predicted model, not a curated record. Lineage: Eukaryota; Metazoa; Chordata; Actinopteri; Salmoniformes; Salmonidae. The transcript has 9 exons.
AGGGUGCAUUUUCUUUCUCUUCAGUUCAAGCUAAAUGCAAAGGUGGACAAACGGCAUACGAUAAACCCUGCUCAGCCCAAUAUGGCUGCAUUGCUACUGCAGAAUAGCUCAAUGGGAUCUUCUGAGCAGACCCCAGAUGGAGGAAUAACAAAUGGAUAUGCAGAAGGAUUAGUCUAUCUGAAGACUCUAUAAAAUGGGAUUCGAAUGAACCAGUGGAUGUUUUAAUUGGAGGCUUAUAACCUCGGAUGGCUUGAGAAUUAACCACGGAACAUUCUGAAGGUCUCGUACCAACUGAAAUGGCAGCGGUGAUGACCCAAUCACCUUGUGAUUGAACAGCCGGUAUGGAGGUACAAGUGUGCCUUAACACUUAAGAUGAAAUGGUGCAAUCUAGGUCCCUUGAUGGGAAUGUCAAUCUGUAGGUCUUAUGACCAACUACACUUCAACGUUGAUAUACCCGUAAUACGGGUUUAAGGUCUUGUGAAAAAUGAUUGAGGCCUGUCAUACAUCAUAACAUCCAAUCACAUUGACGUGGGAAUUCCACUAACGAGC